Molecule: ribosomal RNA, 420 nt
Filed under: Fusobacteriota bacterium
Lineage: Bacteria; Fusobacteriati; Fusobacteriota
Description: Fusobacteria bacterium partial 16S ribosomal RNA
Rfam family: Bacterial small subunit ribosomal RNA
Source: RNAcentral
UGGGGGAUAUUGCACAAUGGGCGAAAGCCUGAUGCAGCGACGCCGCGUGGGGGAUGAAGGCUUUCGGGUUGUAAACCUCUUUCGCUAUCGAACAAGGCCCGCUUAGGGUGGGUUGAGGGUAGGCGGAGAAGAAGCGCCGGCUAACUACGUGCCAGCAGCCGCGGUAAUACGUAGGGCGCGAGCGUUGUCCGGAAUUAUUGGGCGUAAAGGGCUUGUAGGCGGCUUGUUGCGCCUGCUGUGAAAACGCGGGGCUUAACUUCGCGCGUGCAGUGGGUACGGGCAGGCUUGAGUGUGGUAGGGGUGACUGGAAUUCCAGGUGUAGCGGUGGAAUGCGCAGAUAUCUGGCGGAACACCGAUGGCGAAGGCAGGUCACUGGGCCAUUACUGACGCUGAGGAGCGAAAGCAUGGGUAGCGAACAGG